Molecule: long non-coding RNA, 1484 nt
Organism: Zingiber officinale
Lineage: Eukaryota; Viridiplantae; Streptophyta; Magnoliopsida; Zingiberales; Zingiberaceae
Exons: 2
Source: RefSeq, a predicted model, not a curated record
UUCCCUAACCAGCAGCCCCCACGCGCCCAACAGUCCACGUGCCGACCGUCCUUACAUCGAUUUCGUCUCGGCUCCAAUUUCGUUUCGCUGUGUGUCGGCCUUCGUGCCGUUAUCUCGUUCCAUCUUCAUGUGUUGUGGUGUUUUAGCCUUUGUGCCUUGGUUAUUGUUGAGUGUCACUGAUUUGACAGUAUUCCGCUCCUGUCGUUAGUUCCCAACCUGCGUGCCGAUAUUAGUUCCCGGCAUGCGCACCGAUAUGAGUUCCUGGUCUGCGUACCGGUGUCUUAUCCCGGUCUGCGUACCGGUGUCUUAUCGCGGUCUGCGUACCGAUCUCGUGUCCCGGUCUGCGUACCGAUAUUAUAUCCCGAUCUGCAGCUCGUCUUCCGGAUCAGUGCAUCGUUCAGCUUCUCGUCGUCAGAUCCAGCUCUCCAUCCUGAUCGAAGUCAUCCACUCUUCCGGGUCGCGACAACUCGAGCCGCGUCCCAUCCGAGGGCGCCUCCUGGGCCAGGGCAACCAAGGGAACAUGCACUCGGAUCACAUUUGGAGUCAAAGCUAGGGCUAAAGGAAGAGAACCAAUCCAGUUUAAUCUGGACUCUUCUUUCAAAAUUUGAGGAGAUGUGAGCCAUAUAUCACUAUCUGGUCCAUCCAAGUCAAAGAGAAUAGAUCAUCACCUUGAUCUAGAUCUAAGUCUUUGGAUUAACAUCUGAACUCAUCAUCACCAUUGGAUUAGAUUUGAGGGUUACCCGUCGUUGAUUGAAAUUUGGAUCAAAGGUUUGGAUCAUUAAUUUUGAAGAGGGAGCAGAGGGCACGUGAACAACUUCACCUUGUUCCUCCGCCGAUCGUUGGCCACUGGAGCUUCAUCAACCAUCCACUUGGGUGUUAAGGACUUUUCCUUCCCUAUCCAUUCCAUCCAGCUCCGGUGUUCCAUUGGCGUUCCAUCACCUUCACAAUUUGGGGCUGCGACAUUUGACGGAGAACAGAGACACGGGCGCGAAGCAAGGAGACACCUACCAACCGCCACUGCAAGCCACAAUGAGGUCAAGGGUUUUCUCCUUUCUCAUCUAUCCACACUCCUCCUUUGUGGUAAAGAAGAAAGGGGCUUAUCUACUUCAUCUAGUGCCAUCAUCGAGCUCUGAUCAUUUUCUCCAACCAAUCAUCCAUCGUCGGCAUUCAUCAUCAUAGAUCUUAGCUGAGAUGAUCAUCGGAGUUAUGAGGGUGAUAGGGCUUUUCCAUCACCUUCUGAAUUCUACAUCAACCUAUUCAGAUCAUCACCCCAUUUUCAUUUCAGUGUAGCGAUAUCUCUGAUCAACUUCCUCUAAUUCUCUUUACAACCACUCCGAUUAGAACGAGCUAGGGUUUGAUUUGUAAGCAUCAUCAGUAUUAAGGUUUCAUUUAUGGUUGUAUGUUGCUUCCUUUCAUGUGAUCAAUGUGAUGAGGCCAUGCUCUCUUAUACACUCCCAUUUGAAUGCAAAUUCAUUCUUAGUUUA